This 232-nucleotide long non-coding RNA is filed under the name Hordeum vulgare. RNAcentral's name for it is "long non-coding RNA (HVUL_LNC015122)". Lineage: Eukaryota; Viridiplantae; Streptophyta; Magnoliopsida; Poales; Poaceae. The record is from RNAcentral.
AGUACAUGGAGGCUCGAUGCAUGGACGACUUCUAGGUGGUGGAGAAUAUUCGCCAAGGUGGAGUUUGUUAUAUUUGUGUCGAAUAUUAUGUACGCAAGGGGUUACGUGGACUUGGAGUUGUAAUUGGUGUGGAUAGGUACGAGUCGUGUAGGAGUCGGACACGUUGUAUCCUAGGCCUCUUAUAUAUCGAGGGACACCACACGUUGUAACCUAUGAUGAUCGGAUAGCAAUA